Molecule: long non-coding RNA, 480 nt
Organism: Microplitis mediator
Lineage: Eukaryota; Metazoa; Arthropoda; Insecta; Hymenoptera; Braconidae
Exons: 4
Source: RefSeq, a predicted model, not a curated record
AAUAAGUUGCUGUUAAGUCUUCGACUUUAAUUAGCAACAUGUCAUCAAACAAGAAAGACAUGCCGUCAGGAUUCAUAUUCCAAUCAGAACAUACAUCAUUGAAACCAUUUGUGUUAAGAGCUGAGGCUACACCACCACAGAGAAAUGAAGAUCUAUCACAUUUGUAUUCGGCGCCAUGUAGUCCAGCUGAGGUGGAAAAAAAAUUAAAAGAAAAAGAAACGCCAGUAAAAAAAAACAAAUAGCGAGGAAAACAUAUCUUUGUUUAUUUGGUGAUACAUUUUAAUUUGAAUUUCGGGUAGUAAAGAUUUCACGAUUAUUUUUGAAUAUGUAAUGAAAUGCGAGGGGAUUAUAAUUUAUGUAUUUAUUAUAAGAACACAUGUAUUGUCAUUUUUUUUAUAAUUUAUUUUAUUUUUUUAUAACUAUUUUAAUUAUAAUUGAAGACAUGUAGUUAAUAUGAACAUUAUGUUAAUAGAUUAUUGA